This 880-nucleotide unclassified non-coding RNA is filed under the name Leishmania donovani. RNAcentral's name for it is "gene:unknown". The record is from RNAcentral. Lineage: Eukaryota; Euglenozoa; Kinetoplastea; Trypanosomatida; Trypanosomatidae.
GUGGCAUCGGGGAAACCUGCCGCAGCGAGCACGUCUGCGCCACCCAUGUGAUGCGCAAAGUGUCCGCGCGACUGGAGCGUAUCCCACCCGGCCUUCACACUGCGCGCUGGUGUGGGGGAGCCUGCACCCCCCGAGGUGGAUGCGCCGCGGUUUGGCAAGCGAAAUGGGAGAGGCUUUGGGGCAACCUACGGGGCGGGGGGAUGGGCUGAGUAUGAGUCAGGGGCGAUGCUCUCCGAUGACUGGGUCGGUGCGUUGCUCUACCGCGUGUGUGCCCGCGGCUGCUUCGCACUACGUGGAUGGGGUCUGAGGUGCGGGGGGAGGCGGGCAGAGCGGCGCUUGGCCUGAAGUUGCGUGCCAGAGAAGGGGUGAGCUGCAAAAAUGUUUUUCUUGCGAACUGCGGCUGCUUCAGGUACUGACGCCUGGCAGAGAGGUGGAUGCUUUGCUUGGCGAUGUAGGCCUCGGCUGGUAGAGGAUGGAUUCAAGCGUCUGUGCGGCUGUCAUCUUUUUGGAAAUCAGCGGCGUGUUACUCUUUGCUGAGUAUCCACUUGCCCGGUGUGGUGCAUACGUUGCGAUUUUCCUUUCCACAUAAUUAUACUGAAGAGAUCGCAGCGAUGUUUGCAGCCAUAGAGAGAAAUUAAGACAGUUGUGGAGUUUGUGUUGCAAGUCGCGCGCGUGGCGAGUUCCUUUUUUUUUUGUCCAGCUGUGAAAUUCUGUUCUCGUUCAGGUUUCUUGGUGUUCGACUUUCAAAUGUCUGUAGGACAGUCAAGUUCUUUAAUACACAGACUUGUUUCUUCGUUGUUGCAACGGGCAAGCCUUUUUUUUUCAAUCUACCAUUUGCCGACCUUUGGUGACCUUCGGUCAGCGUUUUCCUAGCACAUUC